This 301-nucleotide ribosomal RNA is filed under the name uncultured bacterium. RNAcentral's name for it is "partial 16S ribosomal RNA". It matches the Rfam family "Bacterial small subunit ribosomal RNA", at positions 509 to 808 of the family's 1533-position model. The record is from RNAcentral.
CAGCAGCCGCGGUAAUACAGAGGGUGCGAGCGUUAAUCGGAUUUACUGGGCGUAAAGCGUGCGUAGGCGGCUUCUUAAGUCGGAUGUGAAAUCCCUGAGCUUAACUUAGGAAUUGCAUUCGAUACUGGGAAGCUAGAGUAUGGGAGAGGAUGGUAGAAUUCCAGGUGUAGCGGUGAAAUGCGUAGAGAUCUGGAGGAAUACCGAUGGCGAAGGCAGCCAUCUGGCCUAAUACUGACGCUGAGGUACGAAAGCAUGGGGAGCAAACAGGAUUAGAUACCCCAGUAGUCCCUGUCUCUUAACA